UCAUAGGUAGCUACCAUGCAGUCGAGCGGUAGCACAGAGAGCUUGCUCUCGGGUGACGAGCGGCGGACGGGUGAGUAAUGUCUGGGAAACUGCCUGAUGGAGGGGGAUAACUACUGGAAACGGUAGCUAAUACCGCAUAACGUCGCAAGACCAAAGUGGGGGACCUUCGGGCCUCAUGCCAUCAGAUGUGCCCAGAUGGGAUUAGCUAGUAGGUGGGGUAACGGCUCACCUAGGCGACGAUCCCUAGCUGGUCUGAGAGGAUGACCAGCCACACUGGAACUGAGACACGGUCCAGACUCCUACGGGAGGCAGCAGUGGGGAAUAUUGCACAAUGGGCGCAAGCCUGAUGCAGCCAUGCCGCGUGUAUGAAGAAGGCCUUCGGGUUGUAAAGUACUUUCAGCGGGGAGGAAGGCGAUAAGGUUAAUAACCUUGUCGAUUGACGUUACCCGCAGAAGAAGCACCGGCUAACUCCGUGCCAGCAGCCGCGGUAAUACGGAGGGUGCAAGCGUUAAUCGGAAUUACUGGGCGUAAAGCGCACGCAGGCGGUCUGUCAAGUCGGAUGUGAAAUCCCCGGGCUCAACCUGGGAACUGCAUUCGAAACUGGCAGGCUAGAGUCUUGUAGAGGGGGGUAGAAUUCCAGGUGUAGCGGUGAAAUGCGUAGAGAUCUGGAGGAAUACCGGUGGCGAAGGCGGCCCCCUGGACAAAGACUGACGCUCAGGUGCGAAAGCGUGGGGAGCAAACAGGAUUAGAUACCCUGGUAGUCCACGCCGUAAACGAUGUCGAUUUGGAGGUUGUGCCCUUGAGGCGUGGCUUCCGGAGCUAACGCGUUAAAUCGACCGCCUGGGGAGUACGGCCGCAAGGUUAAAACUCAAAUGAAUUGACGGGGGCCCGCACAAGCGGUGGAGCAUGUGGUUUAAUUCGAUGCAACGCGAAGAACCUUACCUGGUCUUGACAUCCACAGAACUUAACCAGAGAUGGGCUUGGUGCCUUCGGGAACUGUGAGACAGGUGCUGCAUGGCUGUCGUCAGCUCGUGUUGUGAAAUGUUGGGUUUAAGUCCCGCAACGAGCGCAACCCUUAUCCUUUGUGCCAGCGGGUUAGGGCCGGGACCUCAAGGAGACUGCCAGUGA
Molecule: ribosomal RNA, 1128 nt
Filed under: Klebsiella pneumoniae
Lineage: Bacteria; Pseudomonadati; Pseudomonadota; Gammaproteobacteria; Enterobacterales; Enterobacteriaceae
Description: bacterial SSU rRNA
Rfam family: Bacterial small subunit ribosomal RNA
Source: RNAcentral